Molecule: ribosomal RNA, 428 nt
Filed under: uncultured bacterium
Lineage: Bacteria
Description: partial 16S ribosomal RNA
Rfam family: Bacterial small subunit ribosomal RNA
Source: RNAcentral
UGGGGAAUAUUGCACAAUGGGCGCAAGCCUGAUGCAGCCAUGCCGCGUGUGUGAAGAAGGCCUUCGGGUUGUAAAGCACUUUCAGCGAGGAGGAAGGUGGUGAACUUAAUACGUUCAUCAAUUGACGUUACUCGCAGAAGAAGCACCGGCUAACUCCGUGCCAGCAGCCGCGGUAAUACGGAGGGUGCAAGCGUUAAUCGGAAUUACUGGGCGUAAAGCGCACGCAGGCGGUUUGUUAAGUCAGAUGUGAAAUCCCCGAGCUCAACCUGGGAACUGCAUUUGAAACUGGCAAGCUAGAGUCUCGUAGAGGGGGGUAGAAUUCCAGGUGUAGCGGUGAAAUGCGUAGAGAUCUGGAGGAAUACCGGUGGCGAAGGCGGCCCCCUGGACGAAGACUGACGCUCAGGUGCGAAAGCGUGGGGCAGCAAACA